GACGAACGCUGGCGGCGUGCUUAACACAUGCAAGUCGAACGGAAAGGCCCUGCUUUUGUGGGGUGCUCGAGUGGCGAACGGGUGAGUAACACGUGAGUAACCUGCCCUUGACUUUGGGAUAACUUCAGGAAACUGGGGCUAAUACCGGGUAGGAGCUCCUGCUGCAUGGUGGGGGUUGGAAAGUUUCGGCGGUUGGGGAUGGACUCGCGGCUUAUCAGCUUGUUGGUGGGGUAGUGGCUUACCAAGGCUUUGACGGGUAGCCGGCCUGAGAGGGUGACCGGCCAUAUUGGGACUGAGAUACGGCCCAGACUCCUACGGGAGGCAGCAGUGGGGAAUAUUGCACAAUGGGCGGAAGCCUGAUGCAGCAACGCCGCGUGCGGGAUGACGGCCUUCGGGUUGUAAACCGCUUUCGCCUGUGACGAAGCGUGAGUGACGGUAAUGGGUAAAGAAGCACCGGCUAACUACGUG
Molecule: ribosomal RNA, 468 nt
Filed under: uncultured bacterium
Lineage: Bacteria
Description: partial 16S ribosomal RNA
Rfam family: Bacterial small subunit ribosomal RNA
Source: RNAcentral